RNAcentral lists this ribosomal RNA (253 nucleotides) under uncultured bacterium. Its description in RNAcentral is "partial 16S ribosomal RNA". It matches the Rfam family "Bacterial small subunit ribosomal RNA", at positions 524 to 776 of the family's 1533-position model. The record is from RNAcentral.
UACGUAGGGUGCGAGCGUUGUCCGGAAUCACUGGGCGUAAAGGGCGCGUAGGCGGCGCGGUAAGCGUGCGGUGAAAGUCCGGGGCUCAACCCCGGAUCGGCCGUGCGGACUGCCGGGCUCGAGCACUGUAGGGGCGGGUGGAACUCCGGGUGUAGCGGUGGAAUGCGUAGAGAUCCGGAAGAACACCGGUGGCGAAGGCGGCCCGCUGGGCAGUGGCUGACGCUGAGGCGCGACAGCGUGGGGAGCAAACAGG